GAUUGGGUGACAGUAACGUGGGAGGCUGCGCAGUAUUCGUCGAUGCUGUCGGAGAUUAUCUUGUUUUUGUCGCCAUAUCUGUCAGACUGAAAACGACUCGGUAGAAGAUGAGCUCGCCUGUGUAGUUCAAUGUGAGACAUAAUGUUAAAGCUCUUGUCCUGUCCAUAUUCGAGCGGUUAUAACAGUAAUGCAGGUUGGUGGUAGAGCUCUGUCACUCACUGACACUGAAACUACAAGCGACAACAUGGAUGAACAGUAUUUAAGAUUCAACUAAUAUUUCACGCAAACGACAAAUGUGAUGGGUACCGAUGCUAGCAAAAACAGCAAGCAGUGUACAGGGUCGGAGGAGCAGUCACAAAUAUCCAGAUGGCGGGGAUUUCUCUCUGCUGUGGGGAUUUCUCUCCCAGCUGGUCUCUGCCGAAUCAACCCAUUACGAAUCGGAUCACAUAGAAUGAUUUGUGACAAGGAGCCAUCCAUUCCUGAGCACCUGGUCUCUUCAUUACCGGGGCCUGAGAAACUCCGUAUGGAAUGGAGUCUGCCAAGUUUUAUCAACAUGUUUCUGCCCGAAUUCCCCCAUCGCAAUGUCCCAGGACAUGAACAUUUUCAGGUCCUGGGUUACAUAGCAAAAGGAUCUUUUGGUCCCAUUUUAAAGGUUAAGGAUAAGUCGAAGCAUAAGAUCUAUGCAGUUAAGGUAAAACUUGUAUACACCCACACUCAUUUACAAUUCUUUGUAAUUUCAUAUUUUUACACAUUUA
This 755-nucleotide long non-coding RNA is filed under the name Sinocyclocheilus grahami. RNAcentral describes it as "lncRNA (ENSSGRG00000045550.1)". The record is from RNAcentral. Lineage: Eukaryota; Metazoa; Chordata; Actinopteri; Cypriniformes; Cyprinidae.